GACGAACGCUGGCGGCGUGCCUAAUACAUGCAAGUAGAACGCUGAAGGAGGAGCUUGCUUCUCUGGAUGAGUUGCGAACGGGUGAGUAACGCGUAGGUAACCUGCCUGGUAGCGGGGGAUAACUAUUGGAAACGAUAGCUAAUACCGCAUAAGAGUAGAUGUUGCAUGACAUUUGCUUAAAAGGUGCAAUUGCAUCACUACCAGGUGGACCUGCGUUGUAUUAGCUAGUUGGUGGGGUAACGGCUCACCAAGGCGACGAUACAUAGCCGACCUGAGAGGGGGAUCGGCCACACUGGGACUGAGACACGGCCCAGACUCCUACGGGAGGCAGCAGUAGGGAAUCUUCGGCAAUGGACGGAAGUCUGACCGAGCAACGCCGCGUGAGUGAAGAAGGUUUUCGGAUCGUAAAGCUCUGUUGUAAGAGAAGAACGAGUGUGAGAGUGGAAAGUUCACACUGUGACGGUAUCUUACCAGAAAGGGACGGCUAACUACGUG
RNAcentral lists this ribosomal RNA (495 nucleotides) under uncultured bacterium. Its description in RNAcentral is "partial 16S ribosomal RNA". It matches the Rfam family "Bacterial small subunit ribosomal RNA", at positions 28 to 507 of the family's 1533-position model. The record is from RNAcentral.